Molecule: ribosomal RNA, 301 nt
Filed under: uncultured bacterium
Lineage: Bacteria
Description: partial 16S ribosomal RNA
Rfam family: Bacterial small subunit ribosomal RNA
Source: RNAcentral
CAGCCGCCACGGGAAUACGAGUGGUGCAAGCGUUAUUCGGAAUUAUUGGGCGUAAAGGGUGUGCAGACGGUUUGUUAAGUCACUUGUUAAAUUCUCCGGCUUAACCGGAGGCCAGCAUGUGAAACUAGCAGACUAGAGGGUGAGAGAGAGAGGUGGAAUUCUCGGAGUAGCGGUAAAAUGCGUAGAUCUCGAGAGGAACACCAAUGGCGAAGGCAGCUUCUUGGCUCACCCCUGACGUUCAUACACGAAAGCGUGGGGAGCAAACAGGAUUAGAUACCCGAGUAGUCCCUGUCUCUUAUAC